GAUCUGAUUGUAAAAAGGUGAAGAAUUCCAUCUUUAGCCUUACGAUACGAAUUUUCUCUCUUGAGCACAUGAAUUAUAAAGAGCUCAUCUGGCACUUGUUUCUACUAGUUUCCUUCUUAGCUCUCAUUUGUGAAACUGGCCUCCUUAGUUCAAGGAAGAAGCAUGAUCAUGGUACCUUACACCGUGCCUUGUAUAAUCCUGAAAUAUUUAUUGGUUGGUUUCCAAAUUAACCGUUUACUACUAGGCAGGUGCUCUAGCAAUGCAGUGUGCGUGCACAGUUCUUCAGGCAAAGCUACUCUGUGGAUGAGUGAAAUUCUUAAUUUGAGCCUUCAUUAGAACUACUCUAACCAAAUGAGCUAGAAACCAUCCCCAAUUUAAUAUUAUUAAGUGUACAGAAACCAGUGGUAGCUUUAAAUGCCAUUUCAAAGUAAAGUGUGGCAUUGCCACUUCUUUAAUAGAAGUGACAUCUGGCUUCUCUUUUCCAGAAGGCUGUCCUAAAGUCCUGAGAGUAAAACCAGGUUUGGGAUCUGAUUAUGAGACUUGUCCACUCACGAUUUGCUACCACAUAAGCAGUAAUUCCUCAGAUUCUUACAGGAAAGCUAAAAAGGACCAUAAAGUUAACUGCUUCCUUGACAGCAAGCUAAGAAAAAACUUGACAUGUUCAGGAAGGCCACUGGACGGAAAUGAAGCAAAUCAGAAAACAAUACCUUGCCUCCUUUGAACUCACGAUGCUCUCUGUGGCUCCAAUACUGCACAAGGUUUUUGUUGCUGUGGCUUGAAAGAAGAGUCAGAGGGUCUAGAAAACAUAAGCAAAGACUGAACUCUUACUUAAACGCCAGCUAUUGUUCUUUGUUCUGAGUGCGUUACAGGCACCAACUCCUACAAAACUUUAUGACCUAGGAGCUAUUAUGAGGCCCAUUUAACACAAGAGGACACUGAGGAGGGUAAGUAACUUGCCAAAGGUCACAGGGCUAGGAGGUGGGACACCCCAGGACCUCUGUGCCUCAUCAUUACUCUAUACUGUUCUCCAAAAACUGGGACUAGCAUGAUUUUUUUAAAUGGCAGGACUCCUGUAAGAGGAUACCCCCCCAAAUUUAGUACUUUUUAGUUUUAGAAAAUGUGAUAUGAGAAGAUUUUCAAAAGGAAAGUGUGAGUUUAUUUCUGUCAAAUCUUGGGAUUAGAUAUAAAAUCAUUUGAAACUUGACAACUGUUUGCAUGACAUGCUGUGACUUUAGAAAAUUCUCUAAUUAAUUGGUGAUCUGAAAGAAGUCCACAGUUUUACAGGGAAGGGCUGGUGUAGUGGAUGCUGACGGUGCCCUUCCCAGAUCCUCAUUACUGGCACCCCGUCUCUAGCAGCUGUGAGUGUUAAUUGGAAAUAAUUCCCAGCUGUUCCUUCUUUCUUUGUCCCCCUGCCAAUCAUGAGUCCCCUCACUCCUGGACACUUUGCUCCUUCUUUCUUGGAGACAGACCACGGGCCUGAGCACUUGGAAGGCCAGCUCCUGUUGAGACACAGGCUGCCAUGAGUCUUGAGCACUCUGGCACAUCCUUGCUGGGUACGUCAAGAGCACGACUGUAAAAGCCAUGACUGCUUUUUAGAUGGGCCAUUUCUCAGGGUUGUUUGCAGAGAGUAACCUUGAGAGCUAAGGCGGUAUCUCCCCAUAGACAAAAAACAGGCUUACUUUUAUAAAAAGUACUGAAUCCCUCCUCUCUCCUCCCUCCUCCAAUGCUUAGUACUCCUCUCUUACAAGGCAGCGUACUGAAUUACAGGCAUCCAUCAUGGGUCCUUUGUAUCACCUCUGUGGGAUUAGGGGUCAUGGGGAACCCACCUCAGCAUCGUGCUGACACUCUGGCUCUUGCUUUUGCCAGGAGUGAUAAAGUCAUUUAUCUCUGACCCGGGAGUCUUGUGUGUUCUGCCAACAUCCAUGAAACAGGCUAGCUUGUUAGUUGUAAGUAGGGUAUAAACCUCAGGCCCUGCACAGUUCUUGGUACCCCUUUGCCUCAAGGUGAGAUGAACUCAGAAGUGUGAUAUGUUCUGAGAUCAGAAUGAAACUAGUUGCCAUCCUAGCCCACAUUCCUACUUAGCAUUUCCUCCUCGCCAGAUUGUAGUGCUUUCACUUCCUCCUCCUGAGAGCACCCCUCAGCCCAUCACUUGAAUAAAAAUCCCCAGCUUAGACUAUGCUUCUAGGGAACCUGACCUCAUACGACAGAGGAGUAUGGAGGAAGAGGUAUUUUAUUCCUUUCUAAAAUUGUCAUAAUAAAGGAUAACUUCCCUUCCAAUGAAACGUUAGACACACUAUACUGUGCCUAGUAUGUAUGGUGUAGUAUGUGAAUGUUUGGAUAAAAUAAUAUAUCAUUGGUAAGAGGACUAAAAUUAGCCUAAUGAUGAAUAACUAAUUAUUCUGGAUGCUGGGUGACAGGAAGGAAAGAAAGAUUUGAGAGCAGGAUAGGUCUAGAGAGACUGGAGAGGUAAGUUCCAGCUACUUCUGUAAUAGCAGAGUCAUGCCAAAUAGAACUGCAGGACAGAGCUGUCUCCUGAGGACUAGAUGAAGUGAAAUGACUAUUUCUUUAAGAUCCAGGCAGGUUGGGGCUCCUUUGUGGUUAUGCCUUAGCAGGGAUUUGAAUCAGAAUGGAAAUAAAAAGAAAUGAUAAGCUUGAAAAAUCAGGGAAAAGAGACAAGAACAGUCUUAGAACACACUAGAUUGCAGUAACUAAAAAGAGGUACUACAAGUGAGAAAUCAUUAAGUAAGGCUUAAUUAUAAUGCCAAAAGACUUCUAUUUAAUUUUUUAAAAAAUUAAAAAAGAAAAACUGAAAAGCUGGAUAUAAAAGAACUGGUGGAUAGAUGUGUAAAGAAUGAAAAACAGUACAAUUAACAUCCAUUGGCUGCCAUUUAAUGUUUAAAAGGUACAUUACCUGUAUGUUCCUCCUCUUUAGACUCCUCCUUUUUCCCCGCUUCCCCCCACCCUACUCAAACACCCCCCCCCCAUUCUCCCCAUAAGCUCCUUUUCCGUGUUUCUUGGCCAUUCGAAUUUCUCUUCUGUUAAGUAUCUGCCUUUGUGUUGUUUGUCUUAAUGAUUUGUAGUUCUUCAUACCUCAGGCGUGUCUCUUAUAAAUAGGAUACAUUUAGAUUUGUUGAUUCUUUUUUAUACCCAGGCUGAUACUCUUUGAUUAUUACUGGUACGUUUAGUUCUUUUACAAUUAUUUUAAUCACUAUUGAGUUGGAAUUAUUUUGUACUUUUCAGUUCAUCUGCCUUAUUCAUGCUUCAUUUUCUCUUUUGUUGCCUUCUGUUGGAUUUAUUGAAUUGACUAGGUAUUUAUUUUGCUUUGGAAAUGUUGAACUUCCUGAGCCUUGGGUUGGGGUCUUUCAAUACUUCUAAAAAAUUCUCAGAUAUAAUGCAUUUGUGUUAGUUUCAGUUUCCUAGAGCUGCCAUAACAAAUUACCACAAACUUUGUGGCUUAAAACAGCAAACAUUAAUUCUUUCAUAGUUCUGAAGGCUGGAAGUCCAAAAUCAAUGUGCUGUCAGGGCCAUGGUCUCUCUGGUUCUAGGGAAGAAACCAUCCCAGAUUUCCUUUCUAGCUGCUGGUGGUUGCUGGCAAUCUAACUGCUCCAACAAGGUCCAAACAGUCCAUUUGGAUUUUGGCAAAAUCACAUUCCAUCCUUGGAGAAUCUUGGGUUCUGUUGCACCAGGUAGCCCUUAAGAAAGUACCUUUUGCUUCUGUGUUGAUCAUACACUCAACCCAGUAUACACAUCUGGGUUGGCUUGAUACUUCAUUCAUGUAAAAAUUUGUAUCUUUGCAACUCCUAAAUAGCAACUGUCAUCAAAAUAUCCCUUCCUCUUUAAAUUUUUUUUUUAGGUAAAGAUGUAAACCUUUGGGAAUGUGAUAAAAUUGUCUAAAAAUGGCUUGUAAAUUAUUUAUGGAAUAGCAAAAGGUAAUUUAAAUGUAAAACUGCUGUGAAAAUGAAUUUAAGUAUAUUAAAUAGUGUCUUUUAUGGGUUA
Felis catus (domestic cat) is the source of this 3996-nucleotide long non-coding RNA. RefSeq lists it as uncharacterized. NCBI's taxonomy places the organism in Eukaryota, Metazoa, Chordata, Mammalia, Carnivora, Felidae. The record is from RefSeq and is a predicted model, not a curated record. The transcript has 2 exons.